UACCAGCUCUCCGAGUGGUAGGGAUGAUUAUUGGGCUUAAAGCGCCCGUAGCCGGCUUAGCAAGUCUCCUGUUAAAUUCAGCGACCUAAUCGUUGAGCCGCGGGAGAUACUACUAGGCUGGGAGGCGGGAGAGGUCAACGGUACUUCCGGGGUAGGGGUGAAAUCCUAUAAUCCCGGGAGGACCACCAGUGGCGAAGGCUGUUGACUAGAACGCGCUCGACGGUGAGGGACGAAAGCUGGGGGAGCGAACCGGAUUAGAUACCCGGGUAGUCCCAGCUGUAAACGAUGCGAGCUAGGUGUUGGGGUGGCUACGUGCCACUUCAGUGCCGCAGUGAAGCUAUUAAGCUCGCCGCCUGGGGAUACGGCCGCAAGGCUAGAAACUUAAAGGAAUUGGCGGGGGAGCACCACAGGGCGUGAAGCUUGCGGUUC
Molecule: ribosomal RNA, 429 nt
Filed under: uncultured archaeon
Lineage: Archaea
Description: bacterial SSU rRNA
Rfam family: Archaeal small subunit ribosomal RNA
Source: RNAcentral